RNAcentral lists this ribosomal RNA (253 nucleotides) under uncultured bacterium. RNAcentral describes it as "partial 16S ribosomal RNA". It matches the Rfam family "Bacterial small subunit ribosomal RNA", at positions 524 to 776 of the family's 1533-position model. The record is from RNAcentral.
UACGGGGGGAGCAAGCGUUGUUCGGAUUUACUGGGCGUAAAGAGCUCGUAGGCAGUCUGUCACGUCGGAUGUGAAAACUCGGGGCUCAACCCCGAGCCUGCAUUCGAUACGGGCAGACUUGAGUUCGGCAGGGGAGACUGGAAUUCCUGGUGUAGCGGUGAAAUGCGCAGAUAUCAGGAGGAACACCGGUGGCGAAGGCGGGUCUCUGGGCCGAUACUGACGCUGAGGAGCGAAAGCGUGGGGAGCAAAAGGG